CGUCCAUAGCGGCGGAGCGGUUUGGCACCUCGAUGUCGGCUCUUCGCAUCCUGGGGCUGAAGGCGGUCCCAAGGGUUGGGCUGUUCGCCCAUUAAAGCGGAACGCGAGCUGGGUUCAGACCGGCGUGAGCCAGGUCGGUCCCUAUCUGCUGUAGGCGUAGGAAUGUUGAGAGGAGACUUCCCUAGUACGAGAGGAUUGGGAAGGACGUACCCCUGGUGUGCCAGUUGGACCACUCGGUCCAUAGCUGGGUAGCUAAGUGCGGCAGGGAUAAUCGCUGAAAGCAUCUAAGCGAGAAGCCCCCCUCAAGAUAAACAUUCCAUGUCGCAAGACGAAAGACCCCUUGUAGACCACAAGGUUGAUCGGCCGCACGUGUAAUCGGAGAAAUCCGUUCAGCGAAGCGGUACGAACGGUCGAUCGUUUGGCCA
RNAcentral lists this ribosomal RNA (425 nucleotides) under Phycisphaerales bacterium. Its description in RNAcentral is "partial 23S ribosomal RNA". It matches the Rfam family "Bacterial large subunit ribosomal RNA", at positions 2497 to 2925 of the family's 2925-position model. Lineage: Bacteria; Pseudomonadati; Planctomycetota; Phycisphaerae; Phycisphaerales. The record is from RNAcentral.